RNAcentral lists this ribosomal RNA (633 nucleotides) under uncultured bacterium. RNAcentral describes it as "bacterial SSU rRNA". It matches the Rfam family "Bacterial small subunit ribosomal RNA", at positions 46 to 653 of the family's 1533-position model. The record is from RNAcentral.
GGAUUAGCAUGCAAGUCGCACGAGAAAGCCGGCUUCGGCCGGUUAGUAGAGUGGCGAAAGGGUGAGUAAUGUAUGGACAACUUACCCCGAGCACGGGGACAACAGCUGGAAACGGCUGCUAAUACCCGAUGUGGUUACGGUUCCGCAUGGACUGUGACCAAAGGGUGGGGAUCCUUCGGGACCUUCCGGCUUGGGAGAGGUUCAUAUCCUAUCAGCUAGUUGGUGGGGUCAAGGCCCACCAAGGCUAAGACGGGUACGAGGCCUGAGAGGGUGUUCUCGCACACUGGGACUGAGACACUGCCCAGACUCCUACGGGAGGCUGCAGUCGAGAAUCUUUGGCAAUGGGCGAAAGCCUGACCAAGCGACGCCGCGUGGAGGAGGAAGGCCUUCGGGUUGUAAACUCCUGUCAGGGGUUAUGAAAGUCCGGCGAUUAACAGUCGACGGAUUUGACAAAAGCCCCAGAGGAAGCACCGGCUAAAUCCGUGCCAGCAGCCGCGGUAAUACGGAUGGUGCAAACGUUGUUCGGAAUCACUGGGCAUAAAGCGCGUGUAGGCGGCUUCGGAAGUCAGGUGUGAAAUCCUCCGGCCCACCCGGAGAAUUGCGCCUGAAACCUGCCCUGGCUUGAGUGACGAA